CUCCUGGGAGCUCUGCUGCAGAUCAAAGAGGUGAUCCGACUGCGGGUGGAGAACAGCGAGGAAGAGGACACGGACGAGCGAGGGAUGACCCAACGCCUGGAGGACAUCCUUCGGGAGUCCAGUGGUCCUUUAGUCGCUGGGCGGACCAAAGACUUUGUGCAGAGGAUCCUGGCAGCCAGCGCGGGGGGUCAAAACCAGCGCAAAGACCCCCCGCAGGGAGGCGACGAGGCGACGGGCUAAACUAACCAAGAACCCCACCAUUCCUCCUCCUCCUCUUCCUCCUCCUCUUCCUCCGUCAUCCAUGCCUUCCCUUCCUCUCUGCACCACCAAGCAACCAAGCAACCAAACCUGACCAAGCUUCUCUCACACCAAUUAGUGAGAGGCGAAGAAGAGGUGGAGAUGUUGGGAAAGAAGAGGAAAAAGAGGAGGAGGAGGAGGAGUAGCCUAAACAGAAUGGGAGUAAAUGACCACCCUGCUCCUCCUGCUGGCCCUCCAAACAGCAGCCGCUCUUCACCGCUCUGUCUCUGCAGGCUGCACCGAAAAACCACCAACACCACCAGGCCAGAGCUGCUGCUGCUGCUGCUGCUGCUGCUGCUGACGUCUCUGUAUUCUGUGUUCUGUCUGUGUGUGUGUGUGUGUGUGCGUGUGUGUGCGCGUGUUGGACAUGUAACAUACUGUAUGAGCGUGUUUAGUGUCCCUCUCUCCCUCUGUGUGCUGUAUUCGUAUCCCAGUGUGCCUAUGAAUAGACAUUGCACUGUUUUGUAGAUGGUCGUAGUUGCCGGCAGGGGACCGGUAGUGAGGCGAGGGCGAGGGGGCAUUUGAGGAUAGAGGAAGUGCUCAAAUGAGGAAGUGGGAGGAGCCCAGGCCUGGAGAAGACAAAGACGCCCGUUAUGUGUGUGUGUUUUUGGUUCUCAUAUGUUUGGCUGGGCUCCUAUAGAAGCACUGCAUACCAUUGGGAUUGCAUCGGCAUCUGAAAUGUCAGUUAGUGUUGUGACAUUCAACAAUUGAUGGAGUCCUGAUGCCAGAGCAGCUGUUGAUGGAAACAACAGCCUGUUUGUUGUGGGAAAAAAAGUCCUUGGAGCUUUAAAAAACACUCCCCUUUACCCCCUUUCCCCGAACUCUUGACCCCCGCCCCCCUUUUCAAAAUGUAAGUUCAAAAAGAAAAAAAAUGCACCUUAAUCCAAACUGACCAAAGAUCAACGUCACUGCUGAACCACUCGGACACCAAAACCUCUCACUCGCUUCAAAUGCUGCCAACCAUCAACACAUCGUUCUGUUUGAGGGGGAAAGUGAGUCCUUGUGUUUGCCCGCACGCAUCCCCUAAAGGAUGAUUAUACAGACCCCCUCCACCCCCUCGCAUAAAUGCACUAUUAUCACGGACCUGAGAGGAACCGAGAGUGGUGUGACAGACCAGAAGAGGCUGAUCACUCAGUCGUUCAGCUCUGCAGCCUGGUGCUCCUUUCAGCUUUUCUGCAGAGGCUUUAUUUCACCCACAUUCAACAAAAAGGGAAGUGUCCUCAAUGCCUUCCCAGAGCCCUCUCCUCAACCCCCUGACCUGAUUAUGUAGCGCACCUUCCUGAAUUGCAAUGACAAAAAAAAAAAAAAAUAGAGAAACACUUUUUAGACCUAGAAGCAAAUAAGUUCCUUUUUUUUGUUUUUGUUUUUGUUUUGUUCUGAUUUUGUUGUUUGGCGAUGCCGGAGCUCACGUUGGUGAGUUGUUUUGAAAAAAAAAUCUGCCUUUCUUCUUGUGGUCUUUUUCUGAAGCUGUAGACCAACCUGUCCACGGUCUCUAAAUGUUGGACGUUAAACAAGUCAAGGACCCUUUGAAUUGCACUGUGGUAAAAAAAAUAAAUAAAGCAACUUAGCACCUUC
Long non-coding RNA from Notolabrus celidotus (New Zealand spotty), 1872 nucleotides. RefSeq lists it as uncharacterized. The transcript is spliced from 2 exons. Lineage: Eukaryota; Metazoa; Chordata; Actinopteri; Labriformes; Labridae. The record is from RefSeq and is a predicted model, not a curated record.